This 682-nucleotide long non-coding RNA is filed under the name Theobroma cacao (cacao). RNAcentral's name for it is "long non-coding RNA (TCAC_LNC004954)". Lineage: Eukaryota; Viridiplantae; Streptophyta; Magnoliopsida; Malvales; Malvaceae. The record is from RNAcentral.
AUUAGCAUCACAUUGCCAUAUUUCCUUCUGCUCUCUUUUUUAAGCAUACUCAACCAACCACCACUCCAAAAUGGCUGAGGAGAAGCAACACCACCACCUCUUCCACCACCACAAGGAGGAUGAAAAGCCUGUUGACACCUCUGUCUACUCUGAAACUGCUUACUCUGGUGAUAUCUCGGCUGGUUAUGGAGCUGGCCUGGCUGAAACGGGAGUGGAUUACAAGAAGGAAAUGGAAGUGGAUUACAAGAAGGAAGAAAAGCACCACAAGCACCUCGAGCACGCUGGGGAGCUAGGGGCUGCCGCAGCUGGUGCUUUUGCACUGGUAAUGUUUUCUCACGAGUUCAUUUUCUCAUCACUUAAUUAAUUAAGUUAUGCUUAAUUAGCAGUAACAUCUAACCCUUUUAUAGAGCAUCUUCUCUUUGUUAUUGGGGUGUUAGUACGUACAAAAAUAUAACCCUUUUGAUGGCUUUUGGUCAAUCAAUUAAUAAUAGUUACAAUUUUAAAUGUAUACUUCAGCAUGAGAAGCACAAGGCAAAGAAAGAUCCGGAGCAUGCCCAUAGGCACAAGAUAGAAGAGGAAAUGGCAGCAGCCGCAGCAGUGGGAGCCGGGGGGUUUGCAUUCCACGAGCAUCAUGAGAAGAAAGAAACAAAGAAAGAAGAGGAGGAGGCUCAUGGAAAGAGGC